RNAcentral lists this small nuclear RNA (64 nucleotides) under Microtus ochrogaster (prairie vole). The record is from RNAcentral. Lineage: Eukaryota; Metazoa; Chordata; Mammalia; Rodentia; Cricetidae.
GUGCUCGCUCUGGCAGCACAUAUAUUAAAAUUGGAAAGAUACAGAGAAGAUCAGCAUGGCCCCU